This 274-nucleotide ribosomal RNA is filed under the name uncultured bacterium. RNAcentral describes it as "partial 16S ribosomal RNA". It matches the Rfam family "Bacterial small subunit ribosomal RNA", at positions 523 to 796 of the family's 1533-position model. The record is from RNAcentral.
AUACGGAGGGUGCAAGCGUUACUCGGAAUCACUGGGCGUAAAGGACGCGUAGGCGGGUUUGUAAGUCAGGUGUGAAAUCCUACAGCUCAACUGUAGUACUGCACUUGAAACUACAGACCUAGAGUAUGAAAGGGGCAGAUGGAAUUAGUGGUGUAGGGGUAAAAUCCGUAGAUAUCACUAGGAAUACCGAAAGCGAAGGCGAUCUGCUGGGACAUUACUGACGCUGAGGCGUGAAAGCGUGGGGAGCAAACAGAAUUAGAAACCCCAGAAGUCC